Lepisosteus oculatus (spotted gar) is the source of this 119-nucleotide ribosomal RNA. Lineage: Eukaryota; Metazoa; Chordata; Actinopteri; Semionotiformes; Lepisosteidae. The record is from Ensembl.
GCCAGCAGCCAUAUCACCCUGCAACUCACACCUGGCAACCCACUGAACCUCAGCAGGUGUGAGCCUGGUCAGUACCUGGAUGGGAGACCUCCUGGGAAAAACUAAGGUUGCUGUUGGAA